RNAcentral lists this ribosomal RNA (301 nucleotides) under uncultured bacterium. Its description in RNAcentral is "bacterial SSU rRNA". It matches the Rfam family "Bacterial small subunit ribosomal RNA", at positions 338 to 635 of the family's 1533-position model. The record is from RNAcentral.
CCUACGGGUGGCAGCAGUGGGGAAUAUUGCACAAUGGGCGCAAGCCUGAUGCAGCGACGCCGCGUGGGGGAUGACGGCCUUCGGGUUGUAAACUCCUUUCGUUAGGGACGAAGCCGCACCUUUUUUGGGUGUGGUGACGGUACCUUUGUUAAGAAGCACCGGCUAACUACGUGCCAGCAGCCGCGGUAAUACGUAGGGUGCGAGCGUUGUCCGGAAUUACUGGGCGUAAAGAGCUCGUAGGUGGUUUGUUGCUUCGUCUGUGAAAUUCCGGGGCUUAACUUCGGGGUGGCAGGCGAUACGG